This 700-nucleotide ribosomal RNA is filed under the name uncultured bacterium. Its description in RNAcentral is "bacterial SSU rRNA". It matches the Rfam family "Bacterial small subunit ribosomal RNA", at positions 42 to 734 of the family's 1533-position model. The record is from RNAcentral.
UCAGGCCUAACACAUGCAAGUCGAGGGGUAACAGAAGAAGCUUGCUUCUUGCUGACGACCGGCGAACGGGUGCGUAACGCGUAUGCAACCUACCCUUUACAGGAGAAUAGCCCGGAGAAAUCCGGAUUAAUGCUCCAUAAUAUCAUGAAUUGGCAUCUUUUUAUGAUUAAAGCUCCGGCGGUAAAGGAUGGGCAUGCGUCCCAUUAGCUUGUUGGUGAGGUAACGGCUCACCAAGGCAACGAUGGGUAGGGGUUCUGAGAGGAUUAUCCCCCACACUGGUACUGAGACACGGACCAGACUCCUACGGGAGGCAGCAGUAAGGAAUAUUGGUCAAUGGACGAAAGUCUGAACCAGCCAUGCCGCGUGCAGGAUUGACUGCCCCAUGGGUUGUAAACUGCUUUUAUAUAGGAAGAAACCCCUCUACGUGUAGAGGGCUGACGGUACUAUAAGAAUAAGGACCGGCUAACUCCGUGCCAGCAGCCGCGGUAAUACGGAGGGUCCAAGCGUUAUCCGGAUUUAUUGGGUUUAAAGGGUGCGUAGGCGGAAUUGUAAGUCAGAGGUGAAAGCCCACAGCUUAACUGUGGAACUGCCUUUGAUACUGCUAUUCUUGAGUUCAGAUGAGGUGGGCGGAAUGUGACAUGUAGCGGUGAAAUGCAUAGAUAUGUCACAGAACACCGAUUGCGAAGGCAGCUCACUAAAC